Molecule: transfer RNA, 65 nt
Filed under: Phytophthora pseudosyringae
Lineage: Eukaryota; Oomycota; Peronosporomycetes; Peronosporales; Peronosporaceae
Description: tRNA-Val
Rfam family: tRNA
About the family: Transfer RNA (tRNA) molecules are approximately 80 nucleotides in length. Their secondary structure includes four short double-helical elements and three loops (D, anti-codon, and T loops). Further hydrogen bonds mediate the characteristic L-shaped molecular structure. tRNAs have two regions of fundamental functional importance: the anti-codon, which is responsible for specific mRNA codon recognition, and the 3' end, to which the tRNAs corresponding amino acid is attached (by aminoacyl-tRNA synthetases). tRNAs cope with the degeneracy of the genetic code in two manners: having more than one tRNA (with a specific anti-codon) for a particular amino acid; and 'wobble' base-pairing, i.e. permitting non-standard base-pairing at the 3rd anti-codon position.
Source: RNAcentral
UUAGCUCAAUUGGUAGAGUAUUUCGUUUACACCGAAAAUGUUAGCGGUUCGAGUCCGUUAUUAUU